RNAcentral lists this long non-coding RNA (4782 nucleotides) under Bemisia tabaci. RNAcentral describes it as "lncRNA ENSSSA1UGG010752". Lineage: Eukaryota; Metazoa; Arthropoda; Insecta; Hemiptera; Aleyrodidae. The record is from RNAcentral.
GUGAGUAUACGCGUGGCGAAGAGGUUGAUGCUGAAAAGUAUGACUUGUACGCCAAGAGAACCGCACAAAAAUUUAUAAAAUACGGCUGGUGCAAUUAAUCAUCCACUGUGCAUAAACUGAUUUUACCUGGAGGAGAAUAUAUCCAGAAAUCUCUACUGCCCAUCGGUAAACUCUCUGAAGAGGCUCUUGAACAACACAUCAAAUUUUCCCAAUGAAGAUGUUCUGAACAGCCUGUUAGUUAACACUCUGACCCACUUAUAUCAACGAUGAGAUGGGGAAACUACACAUCGGUAUCAUCGAUGAUGGCCCAUGUAAGUCGCAACAGUGAAUCGAUUCCCGUUGCGUAUUGUACUGGACCCGACCCAUCAAGGAAAUUUGCUCUUUACAGCUCUCCAGAUUAUUUGUAUAGGAAACUUAAAUUCUUAAGUAACGACUUUGAAGGCCCUUUUCCCGCCGUUUACGAAGUAAUUCCGAACACACGGCCCUGCAAACCGUAUCUCGACGUGGAGUGGGACAUACCGGCAGCCGGAGUUGCAGAAGCAUUGACGUUUGGGCGGAUACGACGGCUUUUUGAACAAGGAAUAACACAUGACCUCCUUGAGCAUUUUGACAAUGCUGCUCUGUCUGAAAUAAUCCCACCCUUGAGGGAUCGCCUGACGUUCAAGAAAUUCUUGGCUUCCGCAAAAAAGGAAGAGAUUUACUCUCUGGUACAUAUUUUUUGGCUGAUGCUUUCUGUUCAUUUUUACACAUCGCUGGCAAAAGUUGAAAGAUGGCUUCUGCUUUGUUUUUUCAAAAUAAUAUCACUGGAUACUGUAUUAAGCACACAAUACUCCGUGAUCAACAUAUUGAAAGUUCUUCUCAUCUUUCUCCGACUGGCCGAAAAAAUUCUGUAAAUACCUCAGACAUUAAAUUUUGUAUAUCCAUCCGGAAAUAAUAAAAUUGGUUUGUGAAUUUUGAAACUCCCUCAACAAGAUAAGUGUUUAUGCAGUAUCACUCUCGACACAGCAAUUCUGUUUAUAAAUACCUAGCUUAUUAAUUGAAAAAGUGUUGUUCCUCAUGUUGAAUUUUAUUUCUAAUACCUAGCGAGGUUCUACAUUUCCUCUAGGAAAAUGAGGAUAUAAAAGUAUGGCCAUACAAAAUCGUAGAGCGGACCGACAAAGUAUACAAACUCCUGAUAAAAGGCAGGGAAGUCAACAUCAACAUCAACAUCGACCGCCUCAAACCGGCCUACAUCCUACCCGAAGAACCAGUCUCUCUACAGCUCACACUGUGGGGAAUGGCUCCCGCCUUUGAUGCACCAGAAAUGCAUUCAGUCUUGUCGCGAUACCGCAAUGCAAAGCGUAGACUGAGGUAUUUCUGGUAGGGACGGAGGAAAGGCAGCGAGAGGUGAUUCAAGGGAAAACACAGAUUUUCCUUUUGACGAAAUGGACAGAUCACCCUAGAGAGGUGGUAAAAUUGGGACGAAGACGCAGGCGAAGCCACAGCUCCCUUCGUCACGAAUUUCAAACCUAUUUCAUACCAAAACCACUCCGGUCCCAGCUGCGGCCCCGCUCCCAACACCCAACGAAGCGGAGACCAAAGCUCCGGAAUACAAGACCCGAUCAGGGAGAGAGGUGCACUUCCGCUUCCCGGACUUGGUCAAACAUUGAAAAAAAAAGCACAAACCAAAUCAAUUAGGCAGCUUUCCCGCGGAAAAUAGUGCCCCGGCCUCACCUACAAGAAGGCCCUCCAUCCUGCCACAGUAAUCAGUCUUUCUCCCAUCAGCCAUGGCGACAGUCGAUAAAAUCUUUCACCUGACAGCCCGCUUCAUUCAGCAUAACUACAUUCAUGAAGCACCACCAUCUUUUUCCUGGCGGGGGAUCAGGGAGAGAGGUGCACUUCCGCUUCCCGGACUUGGUCAAACAUUGAAAAAAAAAGCACAAACCAAAUCAAUUAGGCAGCUUUCCCGCGGAAAAUAGUGCCCCGGCCUCACCUACAAAAAGGCCCUCCAUCCUGCCACAGUAAUCAGUCUUUCUCCCAUCAGCCAUGGCGACAGUCGAUAAAAUCUUUCACCUGACAGCCCGCUUCAUUCAGCAUAACUACAUUCAUGAAGCACCACCAUCUUUUUCCUGGCGGCUGCCACAUAACAAUUUUCUGGAACCAGAGACACGCCUCAGACCAAGCCAAAAAAACCACCUCCGGCACAAGGAAUCACACCAAACCUAGCAGCAAACGGGCUCAAACCACCAAAAACUUCGCGGCACAACACGGCAUGACUUGCGACCCGAAGAAAAUCAAGAUUUUCAAAUCCCAAGCAAAAAGACCGGCCCAGCGGUCACAUGGCCUCAGCCACAAUGCAGGCACCCAAACCGCCAAACCCAUCCCCCGAAACCUCGAACUUUCACCGUCCCUAAGUCUAAACUCCAUUCAGUCCCUCCCGAAAUCUUUGCAUUCGCCCCACCCAUCUACCAAUUUAACCUCAAUCCUUCCUCUCACCCCAAAAUUUGUCAACUGUGCCUCACUUGCUUUUCUCUGUGUACUUGUAAAUUAAAAUCGUGCCUACCAUGUACUCACCUCUCUUGCCCCUGCCAGGAUGUUCCUGAAAACUACACCGUUGCCGAUUUGAUUGAGUGAUGAUGGAGAGUUGAGGGAUGGUUGAUUGAGUGAGUUGAGGAUUGAUUGAGUGAAUUGAGGUGAGAAAGGUAGGAGACGGGUGUCGACGUGCCGGGGAGCGUCAUUCGACCCGGGGGACACAUGUUUGAAGAAGUAUGACCAUCGUCUUUCUGGGCAAAGAGGUUGAUGCUCGGGACAACAAGCUGGGAACGUGAUGUGUUCUGCGGCAACUUGCUGGAGCGUGUUGAUUUGCGCGGCGGAGAGAGAUGAAAACGAUGUAAUGAUGCUGGAAGCAUUCAAUGCUCAUGCUAAGAUGAUCAAAUAUGACUGUUCCAGUGAGAGAUGUGAGUAUUUGAGUACAGAUGAUUUUUGAGCGUGUUCUUGAGGUGAAUUUAUAUGCUUGAAUCAACUGAAUCAGAAGGUUGUGCGUAUUCAUUCACGUCGGGAGUCACCAAUAUGGCCAAAGACCAGAAGAGGUGCUCUAAUGUGGUGGCCCUAAACAGGGCCGUUGGAAAGGGGCAAGCCGGCCGGCUGCAAGAUGUUCCGCGUGCUGAGGUGAUGAGUGAUCCGUGUGGUUGACGGAAGCGGAUUGACUUGAGGCGGUGAGGUCACGACAUAUACAGCCGUGGUUGAGACUGCGUCGGCCAAUCAGGAGCGAGCAUGGGCUGCGUCGCCAGAGGUGAGCGGUGAUUGGCCGCCACGAGUAGAUCAUGUCAAAAGCCUCGGAAGCCCUAAGCCCAAGUACUAAUUUGUUCCAAUUGUGAUGCGCAAAUCGGAGAGAGUAAACAUUUUAUGAGGCAUGCAAUGAAAUGUAAAGGCAAGGAUGAAGCGAAAUAUACAAAGUGCCAGGAGCCCUCAUGUCCUAUCUUAUUAUAUAAAACCUCUGAGCUCGUGAAACACCUAAAUGAGGAACAUAUGUAGAACAUUAAUAUUGAACACCAUAAAUUUAAUUAUGUCGAUGAAUUCAACUCCUUCAAGAAUGAGCAGAACGUAAAGUAUUUCAUUUGACGACCGUUGGGGCUCUCUCAAUAUCAAAGGUAUCUCUUACUCGUAUUAUUUCUGCAAUCACAAUGUCAAAGACGAAACAAAACGAAUUCGGGCACUUUUGUGUCGUGCUAGAAUGAUGGUCAAGACAGACACCAGGAUGAUAAAUGAGAUGUAAGAUACAUUAAAGAUCACAGCCCUGAAAUUAAAGCUGCUAACCUUCAGUACAAUCGUUGUUCAAAAGAUAUGUUGGAUUAUGUAAAAGCUCUGUUAAUUAAAGGUGUUAGUCCGCGCAAGAUUGAAUUGGAGGUAACGAUAUUGUGCUUAAAAGGGGAAUAUCCCGUGAAAGACAGCCUUUGUGCCCCGUUGCCAAUAAAGUUCGUUGCAUCCGAGCCUGUGGCGUUUUCUGACCAUAAGCAUGCAGUUUCAUUUAUUACCACUUCGAUUCUAAGAAACAUUGCUAAAGCCCAUUGGUAUGAGAGAAACGCCGAUAUAAGAGCCGACCUCAACAUCGAAUCUGUAGAAGAUUACAUUACAAAAAUGUACACUCCUUAUGAAAAUCGCCUACACAACCACCCAAACCCAGAAGCACUUGCUUUGCUGGUAAAGGAUGAAAGCGUAAGAAGGUUAAAACGCAGAAAAACCUACGAGCUUGGAAUCCAAGGUUUUUCAAAAUUCUUUCCAUAAUUAGUUUUUUGUGCCUCCUUAUGCUCUAUGGACAUGUCAGGAGAAAUUAGGUCUUGGGACGGUCAGCCCGUCGUAAUUCAGAUGAAGAGACAUUUUCAUUUUGUAAUAACUUAGUUAUGUUUCAUUUUACACACUCAUGUUAUUGUUAAGGUAGUGUGUAAGUUAAAAAUCAGUAAUACUUAGUACAUUUAGUUUGCUAAGAGUUAAAAUAAGCUUUUAAAAGACUUCCUAAAGUCUAAAAGCAUUCCUGUACAAUGUUUUCUGUAUCUUUGGGCGAAAAAAAUUUAAAAAAAAAAAACCCCACUUCGAUUAUUCGUGAUCCUCGUCCAUUAGGGAACAGACAAGCUAGCGACAACCCACAACCUACACGAGACCCUAUGGUCAGCCUUUCAUUUUACCCCUCGGUCCACAGCUCUAUGUGUCUAUUCUCUAUUAUUUCCAAUAAUCGGCCCGCAGAAUGCUACGCGACAGGCGUUCACGCAAACCUCAAUUGCGGGAGUAUGAAACGCGCAUCUCAUU